CCUACGGGAGGCAGCAGUGGGGAAUAUUGGGCAAUGGGCGCAAGCCUGACCCAGCAACGCCGCGUGAAGGAAGAAGGCUUUCGGGUUGUAAACUUCUUUUCUGAGGGACGAAGAAAGUGACGGUACCUCAGGAAUAAGCCACGGCUAACUACGUGCCAGCAGCCGCGGUAAUACGUAGGUGGCAAGCGUUAUUCGGAUUUAUUGGGUGUAAAGGGCGUGUAGGCGGGAAAGCAAGUCAGAUGUGAAAACUCAGGGCUCAAGCCUGGGCCUGCAGUUGAAACUGGUUUUCUUGAGUGCUGGAGAGGCAAUCGGAAUGCCGGGUGUAGCGGGGAAAUGCGUAGAUAUACGGCGGAACACCAGUGGCGAAGGCGGAUUGCUGGACAGUAACUGACGCUGAGGCGCGAAAGCGUGGGGAGCAAACAGGAUUAGAUACCCUAGUAGUC
RNAcentral lists this ribosomal RNA (443 nucleotides) under uncultured bacterium. RNAcentral describes it as "partial 16S ribosomal RNA". It matches the Rfam family "Bacterial small subunit ribosomal RNA", at positions 338 to 795 of the family's 1533-position model. The record is from RNAcentral.